UGGGAUUCAGAUGGGGAUUCAGAAGCUGAGAGAAGAAAUGACAAUAAGGAUUUAUUUCAUAGGUUUUGUUAUAUUAAUCUUCUUACUGAUCACUUCCAGUUCUUUUCAUUUGUUUUUCUGGAUUUGAGUUACUAUCUGGAGUCAUUUCUUUUUUACUUUAUUUAUUUAUUUAUUUAUUUUGAGACAGGGUCUCACUCUGUCACUCAAUUUGGAGUCCAAUGGCAUGAUCUCAGCUCACUGCAAUCUCCGCCCCCUGAGUUCAAGCGAUUUUCCCAUCUCAGCCUCCUGAGCAUCUGGGAUUACAGGCGCCCCAUACCUGGCUAAUUUUUGUAUUUUUAGUAGAAAUGGGGUCUCACCAUGUUGGCCAGGCUUUUCUUGAACUCCUGACCUCAAGUGAUCACUGCCUUAUAAGCUGGAGUGAGGGAAAUUGGGGUCCCAGUAUUCUCAGUGGGUACUACUGCCCAAGGUAGUCUCCACCCCAUGAGUGCAAGCUGAGAGGAAGACAGGAGCCCCCACCAGUCAGCCACACUUACUUGGGAUAUUUGGGAUAGGUAACUGAAGGCCAGAUGAGAAAUACUGAUGCCCUUUACCUCCAACUGGGAACUGGGGAGAGAAGGAGCCCUAUGUUCUUUGCUAAACCAGUCUGGAGUGGAGUUUCCAUCUCACUGAGUUGGGAAGGUGGAGGGAGGGAGCAUGUCUGGGUUCAAAUAUAACAGACUCUUG
This 723-nucleotide long non-coding RNA is filed under the name Homo sapiens (human). RNAcentral describes it as "HSALNT0035168". The record is from RNAcentral. Lineage: Eukaryota; Metazoa; Chordata; Mammalia; Primates; Hominidae.